This 414-nucleotide ribosomal RNA is filed under the name Enterococcus faecium. RNAcentral's name for it is "bacterial SSU rRNA". It matches the Rfam family "Bacterial small subunit ribosomal RNA", at positions 1119 to 1533 of the family's 1533-position model. RNAcentral also lists the same sequence under 1 other name. The record is from RNAcentral. Lineage: Bacteria; Bacillati; Bacillota; Bacilli; Lactobacillales; Enterococcaceae.
CAUCAUUCAGUUGGGCACUCUAGCAAGACUGCCGGUGACAAACCGGAGGAAGGUGGGGAUGACGUCAAAUCAUCAUGCCCCUUAUGACCUGGGCUACACACGUGCUACAAUGGGAAGUACAACGAGUUGCGAAGUCGCGAGGCUAAGCUAAUCUCUUAAAGCUUCUCUCAGUUCGGAUUGCAGGCUGCAACUCGCCUGCAUGAAGCCGGAAUCGCUAGUAAUCGCGGAUCAGCACGCCGCGGUGAAUACGUUCCCGGGCCUUGUACACACCGCCCGUCACACCACGAGAGUUUGUAACACCCGAAGUCGGUGAGGUAACCUUUUUGGAGCCAGCCGCCUAAGGUGGGAUAGAUGAUUGGGGUGAAGUCGUAACAAGGUAGCCGUAUCGGAAGGUGCGGCUGGAUCACCUCCUUU